RNAcentral lists this ribosomal RNA (256 nucleotides) under uncultured bacterium. RNAcentral describes it as "partial 16S ribosomal RNA". It matches the Rfam family "Bacterial small subunit ribosomal RNA", at positions 524 to 777 of the family's 1533-position model. The record is from RNAcentral.
UACGUAGGGCGCAAGCGUUAUCCGGAAUUAUUGGGCGUAAAGAGCUCGUAGGCGGCCUGUCGCGUCCGCUGUGAAAUCCCGGGGCUUAACCCCGGGCCUGCAGUGGAUACGGGCAGGCUGGAGGCAGGCAGGGGGAGAACGGAAUUCCCCGGUGUAGCGGUGAAAUGCGCAGAUAUCGGGGAGGAACACCGGUGGCGAAGGCGGUCUCUGGGCCUGUACUGACGCUGAGGAGCGAAAGCGUGGGGAGCGAACAGGG